This 250-nucleotide ribosomal RNA is filed under the name uncultured bacterium. RNAcentral's name for it is "partial 16S ribosomal RNA". It matches the Rfam family "Archaeal small subunit ribosomal RNA", at positions 474 to 723 of the family's 1478-position model. The record is from RNAcentral.
UACCGGCAGCUCGAGUGAUGAUCACUAUUAUUGGGCCUAAAGCGUCCGUAGCCGGUCAAACAAGUCCUUCGGUAAAUCCACCCGCUUAACGGGUGGGCUCUCGAGGGAAACUGCUUGACUUGGGACCGGGAGAUCUGAGGGGUACGUCUGGGGUAGGAGUGAAAUCCUGUAAUCCUAGACGGACCAUCGGUGGCGAAAGCGCCUCAGAAGAACGGAUCCGACGGUCAGGGACGAAAGCUAGGGUCUCGAA